RNAcentral lists this ribosomal RNA (445 nucleotides) under uncultured bacterium. Its description in RNAcentral is "partial 16S ribosomal RNA". It matches the Rfam family "Bacterial small subunit ribosomal RNA", at positions 354 to 796 of the family's 1533-position model. The record is from RNAcentral.
GUGAGGAAUAUUGCGCAAUGGAGGCAACUCUGACGCAGCCAUGCCGCGUGCAGGAAGAAGGCGCUACGCGUUGUAAACUGCUUUUAACCGGGAAGAAACCCCAGGACGUGUCCUGGGUUGACGGUACCGGAGGAAUAAGCACCGGCUAACUUCGUGCCAGCAGCCGCGGUAAUACGAAGGGUGCAAGCGUUAUCCGGAUUCAUUGGGUUUAAAGGGUGCGUAGGCGGAGCGUUAAGUCAGUGGUGAAAUCCUGCAGCUUAACUGUAGACUUGCCAUUGAUACUGGCGCUCUUGAGUGCGCUUGAAGUGGGCGGAAUGUGCCGUGUAGCGGUGAAAUGCUUAGAUAUGGCACAGAACACCAAUUGCGAAGGCAGCUCACUAAGGCGAUACUGACGCUGAGGCACGAAAGCGUGGGGAUCGUACAGGAUUAGAAACCCGGGUAGUCC